This 432-nucleotide ribosomal RNA is filed under the name uncultured bacterium. RNAcentral describes it as "partial 16S ribosomal RNA". It matches the Rfam family "Bacterial small subunit ribosomal RNA", at positions 29 to 506 of the family's 1533-position model. The record is from RNAcentral.
AGCGAACGCUGGCGGCAGGCCUAACACAUGCAAGUCGAACGAACUCUUCGGAGUUAGUGGCGGACGGGUGAGUAACACGUGGGAACGUGCCUUUUGGUUCGGAAUAACUCAGGGAAACUUGUGCUAAUACCGAAUGUGCCCUUCGGGGGAAAGAUUUAUCGCCAUUAGAGCGGCCCGCGUCUGAUUAGCUAGUUGGUGAGGUAACGGCUCACCAAGGCGACGAUCAGUAGCUGGUCUGAGAGGAUGACCAGCCACACUGGGACUGAGACACGGCCCAGACCCCUACGGGGGGCAGGAGGGGGGAAUCUUGCGAAAGGGGCGAAAGCCUGACGCAGCCAGGCCGGGUGAAUGAUGAAGGUCUUAGGAUUGUAAAAUUUUUUCCCCGGGGAAGAAAAUGACGGUACCCGGAGAAGAAGCCCCGGCUAACUUCGU